AUUGGCUACAUAGGCCUACACUAAGUUGUUGGCGAGUACAGAGAUCUCGGGUGAUUUUCUAAAUCGAUGACUCUUAAUGCUUACCGUGAUGCCUUACAAGAGACAGCCUUAAAUACGAGCUACUUUUUGCAACCAUGAUGACAUCUAUAGAAAAGAAGUUCAUUUUCAUAUUUCUUGUGCAAUUCAUGGCAGACAGCACAGAACCAAUUUCCUUAACCAUUUCCUCUAAGCAGAAUUAUAUAGUGAUAACAGUAGCCUCAUUGCUUAUUUACUGCAUCUAUGCUAAAAAAUGUGAAGAUUUAAGACAACUUCUAA
Long non-coding RNA from Erpetoichthys calabaricus (reedfish), 315 nucleotides. RefSeq lists it as uncharacterized. The transcript has 5 exons. Lineage: Eukaryota; Metazoa; Chordata; Cladistia; Polypteriformes; Polypteridae. The record is from RefSeq and is a predicted model, not a curated record.